UUAGAAGUCAUAGAGCUCUUCGAUGAGCAUGGCAUUGAUCAUGGUCGCGGUCGUGGGAGGGGACGUGUAGGUAGACGUGGUCGAGGGAUUAGGAGGAGAACAUAAUGUUACAUUUUUGUAAAUUUUAAAUUGCACAGAACUUUCUAAAUAGCGAUAAAUUUGCUCUAUAUUUUGAUAUGUUGUUGUGAUGAUAUGGUAUUGAUGCUCUAUUGAUGUUCUGUUCGAUUUAUUGUUGCGUUGUUGUGGUGGAUUUGCCGUUGUGUUGUCGAUGUAUCACGAUUUGUUGUAUUAUUGUGCUGAAAUCUGCAGUGAUGUGGGUGGAGUUCUACUGAACAUGGUGCAUGGUUCACCGUAUUUAGACGCGGUCAUCAUGUUUGGAUACGGUAAAUAGUUCAUCGUGUUUAAUGUAUUAUUCUUCCUCAUCACAAGGUAAUAUAAGUCACUGAACACGGUGAACCAUUCACCGCGUUCAAACACGAUAAAAGAUUUACCGUGUUCAACUUAUUCCACAUCCCCCACUUCUGCUCGGGUGGCGCUGACGUGACGCCUGCGUACGUAGCAGAGACGGGGCCAAAAUUGUAAUUAUAAAAUUAGUGGGGCUAUUUGUGAAAAUAAUUUUUUUUAGGGAG
Molecule: long non-coding RNA, 629 nt
Filed under: Ananas comosus (pineapple)
Lineage: Eukaryota; Viridiplantae; Streptophyta; Magnoliopsida; Poales; Bromeliaceae
Description: long non-coding RNA (ACOM_LNC017943)
Source: RNAcentral